Non-coding RNA from Camellia sinensis, 556 nucleotides. The record is from RefSeq and is a predicted model, not a curated record. NCBI's taxonomy places the organism in Eukaryota, Viridiplantae, Streptophyta, Magnoliopsida, Ericales, Theaceae.
GGCAAAUCUACUUAUUAAUUGUUGAGUGCAUUCUGUGCUUCAUGUUUGUCUUGGCAAAACCGUGUGAGAGAGAGAGACAGAACCGUGGGUGAGAGAGAGAGAACCGUGAGUGAGGGAGAGUUCAAUUUCUUAGAUCUUUGCUGGAAAUUUUGAAGGAAAACCAAGAGAAAAGUGAAGAAAAGGAAGAAGAAACUCAAGUUUGGCUUGGAUUUGUCAAGAUUAUGCAAGAUUAAGUGUCUAUGAAGACUCUAGGUCGCGCGCCAUUGUCUACCUGAUUUAUCUGAUAUGUCCAGUCCGUCUGAUUUGCUUCUGCGGCUAUCUGUGAUCAGGCUCGUGACCAGGCUUAGAGACAUCUGCCUAGAAUCUGUUUUUGUCAGCCAACCUAUGUGCCUCUCGUGGAGGUUCCGAAUGUGUCAAGUGAUUAUGGCUAUGCGAUUUAAAGUUUAAGUUUUGCUUUCUUGUUUGGUUAAACAAGUCUUGUGUAUUUUGUAAAUAGGGCUAAGUCCCUUUCUGCCUAAUCUGUAUAUAUAUUAUGACGUGAGGAUGAUGUGUAUAU